RNAcentral lists this long non-coding RNA (604 nucleotides) under Hordeum vulgare. Its description in RNAcentral is "long non-coding RNA (HVUL_LNC018166)". Lineage: Eukaryota; Viridiplantae; Streptophyta; Magnoliopsida; Poales; Poaceae. The record is from RNAcentral.
UAUAGAAUGUAUAUCGCGCCGAUCUAAAUUUUAGCGUUUAUGCUGGAUCAGCAUGCGCGCAUUUUUUUCAGCGACUGACCGCUGGAGCCAGCGCUCUACGGCCCGUAAAAAUUGUAUUUUAGCCCGCCGUCCGGUUGCACGUGUUGAAGAUGCUCUAAGGUAAGUUUUCUCCAACUACAAUUAUUUAGGAAUGGAGGGAGUAGCAUAUUACUCAAAAUCAAAAAGAUAUACAAUCAGCACGGCAUCUUCAGGGCCGCAUCAUGAUCGGAUUCAAGGAGAAUUUCAUCAGAAGAUUAAAGCGAUGGGAGCGAGCAAGUUUCAUCGGGAGAAACUGGGACCGAAUCGGAUUCAGAGAAAUGAAAUCUGACGCGUGCUCCAUCUGUGCAUGUCCAUCGUUUAUAAAUACCAAAGUACAAAACACCUUCGCAUCCCACGACACCUUCCGAUCCAGCCGCCACCCUCUCCCAAAUCCCCAGUCGCCAGCCCUCGAUCCCAUCCCUAGCUAGAAGCAGCACGCCGGCCGGGAUGGAAGGGCUCGACGUCGACGACGUCUUCCAGCACUGCCGGCUGAACCCUACGGAAGUGGAUGCCGUCACGUACUACC